Lepus europaeus (European hare) is the source of this 659-nucleotide long non-coding RNA. RefSeq lists it as uncharacterized. The record is from RefSeq and is a predicted model, not a curated record. Lineage: Eukaryota; Metazoa; Chordata; Mammalia; Lagomorpha; Leporidae. The transcript has 4 exons.
CUGUGAUAGAAACUGUUGACAAUAAUUUCCAGGCACACAACAGUUUACAAUGAGGUCUGCACUAGGAAUUUCCCCAAGAGGCGACUGGAGUACAGGAGAGAGAGCAUAGAAUCUGUACCAAGAUUUCACGUCAAAAAUCUGCUUAGAGUGGAAAAAACAUCAUGUCAGUGUUGCUGUAGCAAGGCUUACUUUGCUUAGGGUAUUUCACCUGACCACCGAGUAGGAUAAAAUAAAUCUCAGAUGCCUGCUGAAGACAGGAAAACUAGCCCCAGCAAGCUACUGAAUGCAAGUGGCCUACCUCUGGAAGCCUCCUAAUGAGUAAAGAAAAAGUUCAGAAAAAAUCUUGAAAAACUGGGGCCAGCGCUGUGGCGCAGCAGGUUAAAGCCCUGGCCUGCAGCGCCAGCAUCCCAUAUGGGCGCUAGCUCAAAUCCUAGCUGCUCUACUUCCAAUCUAGCCCCUGCUAACUUGCCUGGGAAAGCAGCAGAAAAUGGCCCAAGUCCUUGGGCCCCUGCACCCACGUGGGAGACCCAGAAGAAGCUCCUGGCUUUGGAUCAGUCCAGCUCUGGCCGUUGCAGUCAUUUGGGGAAUGAAUGAGUGGAUGGAAGAUAUUUCUGUCUCUACCUCUCUCUGUAACUCUUUCAAAUAAAUAAAAUCUUGAA